UCCCCUGUGGCUCAGUUGGUAGAGCAUGAUGUUUGCAACGCCAGGGUUGUGGGUUCGAUUCCCACGGGGGAC
Non-coding RNA from Salmo salar (Atlantic salmon), 72 nucleotides. The record is from Rfam. NCBI's taxonomy places the organism in Eukaryota, Metazoa, Chordata, Actinopteri, Salmoniformes, Salmonidae.